AGAGUUUGAUCAUGGCUCAGGAUGAACGCUAGCUACAGGCUUAACACAUGCAAGUCGAGGGGCAGCAUGAUUGAAGCUUGCUUCAAUUGAUGGCGACCGGCGCACGGGUGAGUAACGCGUAUCCAACCUUCCGUACACUCAGGGAUAGCCUUUCGAAAGAAAGAUUAAUACCUGAUGGUAUGAUGAGAUUGCAUGAUAGCAUCAUUAAAGAUUUAUCGGUGUACGAUGGGGAUGCGUUCCAUUAGGUAGUAGGCGGGGUAAUGGCCCACCUAGCCGACGAUGGAUAGGGGUUCUGGAGAGGAACGGUCCCCCACGAUUGGAACUGACGACACGGUCCAAACUCCGUACGGGAGGCA
RNAcentral lists this ribosomal RNA (356 nucleotides) under uncultured bacterium. RNAcentral's name for it is "bacterial SSU rRNA". It matches the Rfam family "Bacterial small subunit ribosomal RNA", at positions 8 to 350 of the family's 1533-position model. The record is from RNAcentral.